Molecule: ribosomal RNA, 912 nt
Filed under: Staphylococcus pseudintermedius
Lineage: Bacteria; Bacillati; Bacillota; Bacilli; Caryophanales; Staphylococcaceae
Description: partial 23S ribosomal RNA
Rfam family: Bacterial large subunit ribosomal RNA
Source: RNAcentral
AAAGGUGAAAAGUACCCCGGAAGGGGAGUGAAAGAGAACUUGAAACCGUGUGCUUACAAGUAGUCAGAGCCCGUUAAUGGGUGAUGGCGUGCCUUUUGUAGAAUGAACCGGCGAGUUACGAUCUGAUGCAAGGUUAAGCAGAAAAUGUGGAGCCGUAGCGAAAGCGAGUCUGAAUAGGGCGAAUGAGUAUUUGGUCGUAGACCCGAAACCAGGUGAUCUACCCUUGGUCAGGUUGAAGUUCAGGUAACACUGAAUGGAGGACCGAACCGACUUACGUUGAAAAGUGAGCGGAUGAACUGAGGGUAGCGGAGAAAUUCCAAUCGAACUUGGAGAUAGCUGGUUCUCUCCGAAAUAGCUUUAGGGCUAGCCUCAAGUGAUGAUUAUUGGAGGUAGAGCACUGUUUGGACGAGGGGCCCCUCUCGGGUUACCGAAUUCAGACAAACUCCGAAUGCCAAAUAAUUUAACUUGGGAGUCAGAAUGUGGGUGAUAAGGUCCAUAUUCGAAAGGGAAACAGCCCAGACCACCAGCUAAGGUCCCAAAAUAUAUGUUAAGUGGAAAAGGAUGUGGCGUUGCCCAGACAACUAGGAUGUUGGCUUAGAAGCAGCCAUCAUUUAAAGAGUGCGUAAUAGCUCACUAGUCGAGUGACACUGCGCCGAAAAUGUACCGGGGCUAAACAUAUUACCGAAGCUGUGGAUUGUCCUUUGGACAAUGGUAGGAGAGCGUUCUAAGGGCGUUGAAGCAUGAUCGCAAGGACAUGUGGAGCGCUUAGAAGUGAGAAUGCCGGUGUGAGUAGCGAAAGACGGGUGAGAAUCCCGUCCACCGAUUGACUAAGGUUUCCAGAGGAAGGCUCGUCCGCUCUGGGUUAGUCGGGUCCUAAGCUGAGGCCGACAGGCGUAGGCGAUGGAUAACAGG